AGCUCAGGUAGCCUAAGGGUUGGAGCGUCCACCUCGGAUGCGGGAGGUCGCAGGUUCAAAACCCGGCCGGAGGUA
Non-coding RNA from Potamilus streckersoni, 75 nucleotides. The record is from the annotation of a GenBank genome assembly. Lineage: Eukaryota; Metazoa; Mollusca; Bivalvia; Unionida; Unionidae.